This is a non-coding RNA of Danio rerio (zebrafish), 208 nucleotides long. The record is from RefSeq and is a predicted model, not a curated record. NCBI's taxonomy places the organism in Eukaryota, Metazoa, Chordata, Actinopteri, Cypriniformes, Danionidae.
UUCUGCUGAGUUGAAGGGAUCCUCCUGUCAGACAACCUCUCCAAAGUACAAUAGGACUAGGUUCCUACAACAAGGAUUAGAUUUGGCUACUGCAGUCCCGGUUUGGACCAGCCUCACUUGUGAAGAUUAAAGAUGAAGACAACAUACAAGAACAAUUUAGAGAAUGGCAACACACUUUUUAUUCCACCUAUUUAUCCCCUUUUAUGUG